GAUGAAUGCUGGCGGCGUGCUUAACACAUGCAAGUCGAGCGGUAAGGCCCUUCGGGGUACACGAGCGGCGGACGGCUGAGUAACGCGUGGGAACAUGCCCUAAAGUGAGGAAUAACUGCCCGAAAGGGUGGCUAAUGCCGCAUAUGAUCUUCGGAUUAAAGGAUUUAUCCGCUUUAGGAGUGGCCUGCGUACGAUUAGCUUGUUGGUGAGGUAAUGGCUUACCAAGGCGACGAUCGUUAGCUGGUCUGAGAGGAUGACCAGCCAGACUGGAACUGAGACACGGUCCAGACUCCUACGGGAGGCAGCAGUGAGGGAUCUUCCACAAUGGGCGAAAGCCUGAUGGAGCAACGCCGCGUGCAGGAUGAAGGCCCUCGGGUCGUAAACUGCUUUUAUGAGUGAAGAAUAUGACGGUAACUCAUGAAUAAGCACCGGCUAACUACGUGCCAGCAGCCGCAGUA
This 458-nucleotide ribosomal RNA is filed under the name uncultured bacterium. RNAcentral describes it as "partial 16S ribosomal RNA". It matches the Rfam family "Bacterial small subunit ribosomal RNA", at positions 28 to 522 of the family's 1533-position model. The record is from RNAcentral.